AGUGAACGCUGGCGGUAGGCCUAACACAUGCAAGUCGAACGGCAGCACAGUAAGAGCUUGCUCUUACGGGUGGCGAGUGGCGGACGGGUGAGGAAUACAUCGGAAUCUACUUUUUCGUGGGGGAUAACGUAGGGAAACUUACGCUAAUACCGCAUACGUCCUACGGGUGAAAGCAGGGGAUCUUCGGACCUUUCGCGAUUGAAUGAGCCGAUGUCGGAUUAGCUAGUUGGCGGGGUAAAGGCCCACCAAGGCGACGAUCCGUAGCUGGUCUGAGAGGAUGAUCAGCCACACUGGAACUGAGACACGGUCCAGACUCCUACGGGAGGCAGCAGUGGGGAAUAUUGGACAAUGGGCGCAAGCCUGAUCCAGCCAUGCCGCGUGAGUGAAGAAGGCCUUCGGGUUGUAAAGCUCUUUUGUUGGGGAAGAAAAGCAGCAGGUUAAUACCCCGCUGUUCUGACGGUACCCAAAGAAUAAGCACCGGCUAACUUCGUG
Molecule: ribosomal RNA, 492 nt
Filed under: uncultured bacterium
Lineage: Bacteria
Description: partial 16S ribosomal RNA
Rfam family: Bacterial small subunit ribosomal RNA
Source: RNAcentral